AUUGAACGCUGGCGGCAUGCUUUACACAUGCAAGUCGAACGGCAGCGCGGGCUUCGGCCUGGCGGCGAGUGGCGAACGGGUGAGUAAUGCAUCGGAACGUGCCCAGUAGUGGGGGAUAGCCCGGCGAAAGCCGGAUUAAUACCGCAUACGACCUGAGGGUGAAAGCGGGGGACCGAAAGGCCUCGCGCUAUUGGAGCGGCCGAUGUCGGAUUAGCUAGUUGGUGGGGUAAAGGCUUACCAAGGCGACGAUCCGUAGCUGGUCUGAGAGGACGACCAGCCACACUGGGACUGAGACACGGCCCAGACUCCUGCGGGAGGCAGCAGUGGGGAAUUUUGGACAAUGGGGGCGACCCUGACCCAGCCAUGCCGCGUGCGGGAAGACGGCCUUCGGGUUGUAAACCGCUUUUGUUCGGGAAGAAAUCCUCUGGGCUAAUACCCCGGGGGGAUGACGGUACCGGAAGAAUAAGCACCGGCUAACUACGUG
This 484-nucleotide ribosomal RNA is filed under the name uncultured bacterium. RNAcentral's name for it is "partial 16S ribosomal RNA". It matches the Rfam family "Bacterial small subunit ribosomal RNA", at positions 28 to 507 of the family's 1533-position model. The record is from RNAcentral.